GUUUUUUUGUGUGGUUUCUUUCUUUCGGUUUAGGUGUUUUUGGGGUUUUGUUUUGGUUUUUUGUUGUUGUUAGUUUGUUUUUUGUUUUGUUUUUUAAUUCCGUGUCUUUUGAUUCCUCCACAGGAAAAUGCCUCCCAUAUCUCCAAACUCCCUGAAGAAUUUCAAUUUCCAGCGUAAAUACCCACCUGAGUGUGCUUUGAUUCAAUUCUCUCCUUUAUUUCCUCUCUAAAAGUCCCAUCAAAACCACUGCAUCUCCUCUCACUCUCCUGAGGGUUUUUUUUAGGGUUUCUUUAAAGUGUUUUGUAAAGUAGGUUCUUCAUUAAUCUGUUUGUCUUAAGCUGCUUAAAAAUACUCAUUGGCUGUAUUGGAAGCCGAGGGCUUAGAAAAAAAAAGUGUAGGAUUUGUGGAGGAUUGAGUUGAAUUUCUCAACUGUCUGGAACUGGCAUUAGUGCUCAGCAUUCUAAGAAGGGUGAUAUUCCUGCUUUUCCUGGUACUCACCAGCCCAAUUUUGGGUUCAUGAAGCAAAGUAAUGUGGGGUUUUUUCCAUUUUGUGAUUUUACUGCCUUCUGCUGGUCAGAGAUGAUCAGGCUGAAUUUAAUUUUUUAUAAUCAGCACAUGAUCUAAAAUUUAGCUGCAGUGCAAAUGCCAGCAAUAGAUGCUUUGUGUAUUUCUUGGUGUUUUGUUUUUUUUUUUUUCUGCAGCCUCAUGGAUAUAUUUCACAUAGGAGGGUUGAUCAUUAAAGAGGAUUGUAGGUUUUAAUGUGCAGACUGCAUCUUGUUCCAGAAGCCUGCUGUUGGCUUGAAGUGGGGAUGUAGCAGAUCACCUUUCUAAUCCUACCCUGCCUUUCAGCUCCCUGCUUGCCCUUUGCUCCCAAGAAAAAGAAAGAUUUAAAAAUAAAAACCUUGUUGCUGUUUGCAUAAACUCAUGAAACUGUGGCCCCACGACAGUGCAGUUAAAAGAGGCCUGCUGCCUCCAGAAUUUCAUGAUCUGUUUUAGGAAUUAUAGUUGUUUAAAUUUUUAUCUUUGCUUUUAUUCCCUGAGACAGAGAUGGAUGUGCUUGUCUGUCUCUGUAGGGGCUGGAAGGUGGAGAGCUGAGGAGCUGACAGGGCUUGGCAGCCUAAAUGUUGUACAAAGAAUUAUCUACCUGCUCAAAGGAAAUGGUUGUUUCCCUUCCUGCACCUUCCUGCUCUCAAAUUUAAUAACCAUACCCUGAACUGAUAGGUCACACAAGGUGCCACCUGGAUAUACACUGUAAAUCCCCUGGGCAGGCAGGUUAUGAGAGGGAAGAUACUUAUUUUCUGCUUUUUUUCCAACACAAAACAAAGCUUUGAUUGCCAAAUAAUCACUCAGGCAACUGUAAAUAAUUGUGUUUAAAAGAGAGAGUUUUUUCCUCAUCCACCAGUUCCUAUUUCUGUAGCAAAUGUUUGCAGAGGGAGUGGGAGAGAGCUGAGCCCAACAAACUUACAAAAGAUGUCACAGAGUUCAUACUUUCAGCAUUUUAAUGGCAUAAAACCAUCUCUGAGCUCCAUUUGAAUGUUGUAAGGAAAUUUCUAAAAUCUGUGUUCCUGGAAAAUAUAAUUUAUCUCUGCUACUUCAUUUUUUUUAUUUAUAGGUGAACAAGGUGGGUAACACCAAGUGGCAAUGGCAAGAUUAAAAAUUAGAGGAGAUAGUCUGAUUUAUGGAGAUACACAAUAUUUAUCCUCCAGCCACUGCAGAAUGGAUUAGGGUAAGGAAGAGGAAGCUUCAGUAGCAUACUUGGAAGAGUCUGUGCCCAGGCUACCCUUAAUGUAAGAUCCUAGUUAUGCAAGAGGAAAUAAAACACAUUAAUGCCAAUUACAGAGUGUUGGACUGGGAAAGGCUGGGAGCUGUGCUUGGGGUAGAAACAAACAACAGAAAUGAUAAACAUGAGCAGGAAUUAAUGGAAGCUCAGUUGGGAAGACUUUGAGUUCUUCUCCGGGAAGAUUUGAUUUCUUGAACCCACCUUUUGAAGUGAAGAAAAAAGAAAUCUGCCAGGAAACAGUAAAGCAGAAGUGAAGCUGCCAUCAAAUACCACCGUGUGAAGAAAGCUCUGGAAAGGCUGGUACAGUUCUGUGGGUCUGUGAAGGAAGGAACAGGGAUGUGAGGGAUGAACUGGAGGCUGCAGGAAUUUAAAUCUCCUGGUUUCUCAUCAAUCCAGCAGAAUUUGGGUACUGUGCAGACUGAGAACAGCAGCGUGUUCUCUCUUGCCAGAGCUGUCCAGAGGAGAUCACAUCUGUGCACUUCAUGUCACACACGUGUAGCUCCUUCUAUUGGAACAUUUGCCAAGAGAGGCAGAGAUUUGGCCCUUGCCGAGCGCUCCUCGUUGCCCGCAGCUGCCAGGAGGUGGCUCUCUGCAUUUGCAGUCCCUGUUUACUACUUUGUUUAUGGAAUUACGCUGGACACGCUUUCCGUGGAAAAUGUUUUCCCUGCGUCUGCCCUGAGGAAGUUUACGUCAGAAGAACAAGGAAACCGUGGGCUCAGUAAAUAAUCUGCUAACAGGCAAGGCAAGGAUCAGUUCACUUUUGUCCAAAUGUUUUCUGGCUGUGAUCCAAAGGGAUUUUUCCUGUGCAGCACCUAAUCUUAUAAGAUUAUUUCUAGCAGGCUCAAGGAGUUAUAUCUGUGUUGGUAGGGUGCACUUACCAAAUUUGAUUAUACCCCAGUAAAAGUCAUUCUCAAUUAGAGAAAAACCCCACAUUUUAGUCACAUGUUUUGAAGGGUGCAGGUGGAUCAUGGACAGGUACCCUGGUGAAUGGAUUAAGAUGCUGCUUCAUUCUCCCCCUUUCAGUGUGAGAAGAGAGAGUUCUGUAUCCAGGCCAUGGACUCCUUUUUGGAGGCACUGAUGUUUCCCCAAAGCUGAUGUGUUCUGUUGGAAUCCAGUGUGGAACAAGCCAGGUUCCUUCUUUGCUUCCUAAAACGUGGUGAGAAAUUACAGUGUAUUAAAGAGGAGUAACUAUUCAGUAUCCUUGUAAUGCUGGUAAAGUUCCAGGUAUUAAUUUGGUUACUAGGAAUAUGUAGCCUCUAUUCAAGCAUUAAUUUAAAUUAACUUAGGCUGUCUGGAGGUAUUAAUUGCAUGUACACAGCCCUUCCACUCUUGAUUUGUCUUCACCCUCAGUCUGAGAUAUCAGACACCCUUGAGGACAAUACAUGGGCACAAAAAACUUUGUGCAAAACAAACAGUUUAACAUUACAAGUACAUCUUGAAUCACAUACAAUUUCCCUCUAUUUUGGAAGAAAAUGGUUCCAUCUUCUUUUUUCAGGAAAACUUGCCAACUACAGUUGUUUCUAAAUCAGAGGGAUCUGCUAGUUCCUAAAGAAGUAUUUUUAUUGCAGACUGUAAUUCCCAUUAAUUCCAUUAAUGUAACAGGUUUCUCUGGUGGUCACAUCCUCCUCUUUGCAAAGCUUGGGUUUGUGUCUUCAGACUAAGCAUUUUCUUCCGUUAAUUCACUUCUAAGAGGACAAAACAAGAGGCAGAAGAACUGUGACUGUGCCUGUAAGAGGCAACACUCACCUUAGUACCCAAAAUAUCACCUUCAAACCACCACAUCAAUCCCCUCCAUGUCAUUACCAUGAAUUCUUGUAUUUGACAUUAUUGAAUUUAUAAUGGUCAAAGACUGAAAUUUUUUUUCCCUUCUUAUUCCUUCACUUUUCCCUUGACUUCUCUUGGUUAAUGCUGCAGUCACUGCAAAAGUUAGGGUCAAUCUACAGAAGCUCUUGGAGUUUUUGCAAGGUCACAUGUACAUUUCUGCCAAUGUUAGUGAUCUUUUACUGUUUGAACUCACAGACUUUGUAGACUUUUGCUGGUCACUAUCUGAAAAGUAAUGAGAAAUCUGUAUUUUUCUGAAAUUUACUGGGUGUUGACUAUUAAUUGAGGGGUUUUGCUUGUAUUUAACCCAUCUGUAUGGAGAAAACCUAUUUCUCUGCAAAGCAAUGCCAUCCUGAUGUGAGAACAUAAAAUAUCUGUAUUUGA
This is a long non-coding RNA of Parus major (Great Tit), 3985 nucleotides long. RefSeq lists it as uncharacterized. The record is from RefSeq and is a predicted model, not a curated record. NCBI's taxonomy places the organism in Eukaryota, Metazoa, Chordata, Aves, Passeriformes, Paridae. The transcript has 2 exons.